UACUUGUUAUGUGUGCAUAUGCUCGGCAUACGAUUAGGCCAUCCGACUGUCACAGAGACUCCCAGGGCUAGGGAUCUCAACCCGCCAGUCGAAUCCAACACACUAACAUUGAAAGGGGACUUUACUACAAUUGCUCUACUCUACGAUAUACAAAAUAGGAGUCAUCAUACAGGGAUCUCGGUGGAUCGAUCCCACACUCGCCCAACCUACCUGGAUCCAGUAUUUCCAUUUCUUGCGUUUCUCUGAAUCCCCUUGAACCACACGCUUCGAAUCACACACUUACUUCAUACCACCUUCCCCCCAAGUUAUACAAAUUUAGCAACACAUAUUAGUAUCUACUGUUUACAAAAGAAUCAUUUUUAAUUUUAUUAAAAAAAAUACGUUAGCUUUAAAUAUUUUCUUAAUUUUUUUCUCUACUAUUUUUUUUUUCUUACACUAAAAUUGACAAACUGUAUGGUAUAAAAAAAACAAAUUAAGAAUAAUACCGGGCUUUCUUAAAUCUAUGGCUUUAAUUACUCGGUAGAAACCAAUAUAUUAUCCUUUGCCUUGCUUUUCCCGCGCAAUAUUCACGCGUCUAUACGAAAUUACUAGCCACCUAAAAGAGCUCUCUUAACCGGCCUAAUUGCCGCUAAAAUUCCACGGCCUAAACUAUCAGAUCGAAUCACAAGGACUCAAGAUAAUUUUACUGUAACACCUCCUAGCCUUUGAAAAUAAACGCGGUAUUUUUCCCUUACAAACUGAUUAUUACUUAAAUCCUAAGAACUAUAACCUAUCUUAUUACUAAAUCUUUAUACUGAAUAUUAUAUUUUUUUUCUCGAAAUUUAUGAUUAUUAACUCUUUUUUUCUUUUCUUUUAGUUCCAAAAAAGGAGACAGCAAAUUUUAUGGACGUCACAUAUAUAUAUAAAUAUAUCUAUCACAACACAACGUUUACGCUUCUUUCCGGAGGAAACAGAUUUUGAACGCCAGACAAACCCUCAAAUGAAGCUGGACUUGUUGACUGGUCCUUUUACAAUGCCGGCGUUCUGGGCGGGAUCAAUAACAGGCACAGCAAAAAGCUCAAAGUUGCAGCUGGCCAGUUUACAAUUCAAAUCUCCACACCCUCAAUGUAACUUUUUUGGCUUUUUUUUUCCUGUGGACAACUUGCCACUACCUUGCGUUACCAAAAAGAAAAGGCAAUUUCCCGCCGUUGUGCUGACCAAAACCGGACAAUUUUCGGUGCUUCCAAAAAAGCUUGAUACACCACCGGAAUAUUC
Molecule: long non-coding RNA, 1254 nt
Organism: Musca domestica (house fly)
Lineage: Eukaryota; Metazoa; Arthropoda; Insecta; Diptera; Muscidae
Exons: 2
Source: RefSeq, a predicted model, not a curated record